GGUCAUCCUGUCUCAGAGGCAAUGCAAAUAAAUAGACAGAUGAUGAUUAAGGGAACAUCAGAUGCUUCAGACAAUGGAGAGGCCAAUACCAGUGGCUCUGAUGGCAGAGAGGAAGCUCAUGUUUCAUCAGUGAACAGCAGGUAACGAGAGAUGACUAGCCUCUUCUGACCAGCAGUCGGAUGAAAUUCUGGCAUUUCAGAAAUUUUGGUCACCCCUCAUGAGGGUAUCGCACAGUUGAAGCGGAGCUAUAAACCGACUGCCCUAAAAUUUAGUGUUUUUUUUUUUUCUUCACUGCACCUGCAUGAAAACAGAAAAGAAACCAAGACAGCAUGACAUGUAAUUUGGACAGAAGUGAUGGAGGCUACUCAGUUCCAUGUUCAGAGGGUCCCACAUGUUUAUUUCAACCAUGUAGUGUGAGCAUGUAAAUCCUAAGCUUUGGCUUGACUUUGCAUGCAAUUUACUUGUACAGUGAGUGUAGGUAUUUACCAAAAACAAUGCU
Long non-coding RNA from Labeo rohita (rohu), 499 nucleotides. RefSeq lists it as uncharacterized. The record is from RefSeq and is a predicted model, not a curated record. NCBI's taxonomy places the organism in Eukaryota, Metazoa, Chordata, Actinopteri, Cypriniformes, Cyprinidae. The transcript has 3 exons.